Molecule: long non-coding RNA, 270 nt
Organism: Zingiber officinale
Lineage: Eukaryota; Viridiplantae; Streptophyta; Magnoliopsida; Zingiberales; Zingiberaceae
Exons: 3
Source: RefSeq, a predicted model, not a curated record
AGAUUUUCUGAGAUAGUUGGAAGCCCUUAUUACAUGGCUCCAGAAGUUUUAAAACGGAAUUAUGGACCAGAAAUUGAUAUAUGGAGUGCUGGAGUUAUACUCUAUAUCUUACUGUGUGGAGUUCCACCAUUUUGGGCUGAAACUGAACAGGGAGUUGCAAAGCAAGGCAGUCUUUCAUGAUCUUUCAUGAUUCACAUAUUCAAAGUUUUUAUUUUACAAAUCUCAAGUACUCCAGAGUUGAAAUUGAUGAAGUGCGGUUCGAGUGGGCUG